This is a long non-coding RNA of Larimichthys crocea (large yellow croaker), 2170 nucleotides long. RefSeq lists it as uncharacterized. The transcript has 3 exons. The record is from RefSeq and is a predicted model, not a curated record. Lineage: Eukaryota; Metazoa; Chordata; Actinopteri; Sciaenidae.
UUGCUUAGAAUCAGAGGAGGGGUUAUGGAUUGAUACAAAUAGUCACCCCCGCCAAGCCAACCCCAGCGCAGGCUGAAUUAAUGUGUUGCUAUUUUUGGGAGCCCCGUGUUUCCAGGGGAGACCUAAUGACGCAAUGACGUCAAUGCGGGUCAAUCGCAGACUGGAGGAAUUGAGUGGCUUCCAUUUGGGGCUUUUGCAGUAUUUCCUACAGAAAGGAUGGAAACGAGUACAAAAUGGAACUGUAUUUCCUCCACCAAAAAAAAAAAAAAAAAAAAAAUGCAUCGAAAAAUAGAGGUGAAUCAAAAUGCAGAAGUGAAAAUGAUCACAGUGGCAUCACGUCGCCCCAACCCUUCGAGCAUCAGCGAUAGUAAGGGAGGGCUUCACACAAUCCCGACCUAUUCCAAGCACUCGCAUCUAGACGCACAGAGAUGCUGGACCAACUGUGUAUGAUCGUGGCUGUGAUUUCAAUGCAGCGGUCUUGUUCUUUUCAGGUCUUUUUGCGGUCUGGGCUUUCUGUCAAAUGACUAUCCAGGAAGCCCUUACCCCAAAAAGCAUCUGCAAGGGACCCUUUACAACCAGGAAGAUAUUCAUAAAAUGCCCUCUUGACACAUGAGGUCAACUAAUAUAUUGUGAAGCCAAUUGUAUCAAAUAAGUUCCUGUGUAUACGGUUGUGAAACAGUGUAUCUGGCUUACUUGUUCAACACAAAAGGUUUGUGAGUGCUUUAAGUAGAUUAUUUCCUAAUAAAUGAUUAAUAAACCUGUAUAUAAUAUAGACCAUAAUGAAUUAAAAACACACCUGCUGUUAAUCCUGUUAUUCCCAUAUGAUGUGUCCUGAAGAGCAACAUUCAGACACAUUACUUCAACUCUAAAUGCGUCUGAAGCACCACAUGAUUCCUCCAGAAGGUGGCAGCAUUGCUCAAUAUUUUUAACUAUGGAAAUUUGACUUAAUAGCCACACACAACAAAACCACGGAUACACGCAGAGUGAAGAUGAUGACCAUGAUCUGAAUGAUGGUGUCCUUGUGUGUAUCUAGUGUGUUUAUAAUGCCACUCAUUACUAAUCCACUGUACUGAUUCAUUAUUACAACACUUUAAUGUAACCCAGCUGUGAUUUUUGUUAUUUGUAUGCAUUUGUUUGGCUGUAUAUGUGUGUAAUGCAGUACAUUCAAAACAUCUAGAUGUAUAGGCUUGUCAAUAAAGUGAAUGUUAAGCGAGUUGCUAGUUGCUAGUACUUUAGCAUUGUGUGCAGGAAGUGAAUUAUGAGUUCCUGUGAACUAGUCUACUCACUGAACUAGACAUUUCCUCUCUGUUAGUCAUCUCUUUAACAAUGUGCAUUUCCUCUGCCAAGAAGUUCUUUUUAGCUUCAUGCAAACCACAACAAAAAACAGGUGCAAAACACUUUCUGAUUUCACUUCCAGUAAAUCACACACAAAGACAUUAUUAGACAUGCAACCGCUGACUCCAAAAGUGUCCCACAAAGCUUGCAAAGAAAUCCAUCUUUGUUUUGACAUGAAAUAACUUUGAUUUAGCUAUUUAGGUUGUUUUAGACACAUACUGUUUCUCUCAAACAACAAAGGCAUAAGCAAACACUACCGAAUUUCCUCACCUUUAAUGAUCGUGGUGGAGUUUGUUUGUUUUUUCAACCUCUUUCUAUCAGUCAGGAUUUUUCUGGAAAAGCUUAAUUCAAAAUGUUAAAGUCCUCCUGCACCCAAAACUGUGUUAUUCUUAUUGUUACUUUAUAUUGGGAUGUUUUGACCUUCACUGUUCAGAAUGAUGCAUGUGCAGAGCUGUGCAGAGUGACCCCAGACUAGACUGUUGAAGAGGGGAAAGUUUCUCUGUGCUCACCUUGAAUACCUGUUUAUUUGUGAACAGCGGUAUGAUCACAACUGCUUUGGAAGCCAAUUGCUGUUCAAUAUGUUUAGCAAUUGUCGAUUUGCUAAUUGACAGUGCAUAAAAGAUAAACUGUAUUUCCUUCCUCUUGAACUUAAUCAAUUAAUUAAACCAUACCACACACAUAUUGUCCAGCAAACCAGUUUUAUGUGUCCUAAGAUAUCUGUUUCAGUAGGUAUAAAGAUAAACAGUCAAUACCAACAGCAUCUACAAAAUUAUAUCCAGACAACAGAGUUCUUAUUAACUAUGAGAAAAGAAAAAUAAACAAAAUUGGAAAAUCA